CACGUGUAGUAACCUUAGUGAAAGAGUCACAUGCUAAAGAAUCUGGUGAUUUGUUCUGUUCAAUGGGAGAUUUGCUACUCUCUGGGAACAAUGAGAGGCUAAAAAUUGGUGAAGAUAUUAAAGAUAUAUAUUUGGAUCAUCUAGCGCAACAGCUAGCAGAAUGCUUAGCACCUUCUACUGGUUUGAGUUCUUGUCUUAAAUCAAUGAUUGGUUUUCUUGAAAAUUGUACUUCUUAUUAUCAUAUUGUCAAGGAUGAGUAUGAGUUGGGAAAAAGGAAGAUUUCAGGUUCAUAUAAGCGGCACACUUUGUCCAUAAAGCCACUGAACAUUUUGGUGAUAGAUGAAGCUGCACAAUUAAAAGACUGAAUCAAUGACACCUAUGUUACUUCCAGGAAUAAGCCAAGCCAUUCUUGUUGGCGAUGAAUGUCAAUUGCCAUCCAUGGUUAGAAGCAAUGUUUGUUAUGAAGCUGGUUUUGGGAGAAGCUUAUUUGAAAGAUUGAGUUCAUUGGGUCACCCAAAGUACCUUCUCAAUAUGCAGUACAGGAUGCAUCCACAAAUAAGCAUGGUUGACCUCAAAGGAGAGACUCAGCAUUGGUAUAAUGUCUCCCUAUGCUGGCCAAGUUACUGCUAUUCAAGAGAAUCUCGGCAAGAUGUAUGAUAGGCAUAACCAUGAUGGAUUUAAUGUGGAUGUUAAGUCCAUCGAUGGUUUUCAAGGUGGUGAGCAGGAUGUUAUUAUCUUAUCAACUGUAAGAACCAACAACAGAGCAUCUCUUGAGUUCAUUGCCUCUCUGCAGAGGACUAAUGUUGCUCUUACAAGGGCUAGGCACUGCUUAUGGAUUUUGGGGAACGAAAGAGCCCUCACAAGCAACGAAAAUGUUUGGAGGGCUAUUGUGCUUGAUGCUAAGAGCCGGAAAUGUUUCUUUAAUGUGGACCGAGACAACGAAAUGACAAAAGCUAUUUUGGAUGCAAUGAAAGAGUCAGAUCAAUUUGAUGAUUUACUUGAUACAAAUAGCGUCCAUUUUAAAAAUGCAUUUUGGAAGAUAUGUGGAUCCUGGACUUAAUUUUAUCCUUGUUUUGUUGUUAACUUUUGAUUGUUCAUAGGUGUUAUUAUGUAGACAAUUUUUCUUUCUUUCUUGAAACUGUUCUUUUAAUGAGUUGUUUAACUACUCAUUAGCUGUUUAUUCUCAAUAAAUAUUUGAAUUGAUAUCCCCUAGCUUAGAAGGCAGCAAAAGCUCUGUCUCAAAUAAUCAAUGUUUGAUAACUCGUUAAAAUAGAAUAUACUAAUUAACCUCUGAUAGUUUGGUCCAAAGUUGAAGUCACUUGAUAUCGUCUAUAUAUGCAGGAUAUAUACAUUCUUAACAUUGCUGCCAAUGUAUACAUUUUCAGGUACAUUUCAGUGAUCAAUUCCUCAGAUCAUUCAAAAGACUACAGUCUGAAGCGAUCAAGAAAGAGAGGUUAUAAACUUUCUAAAAAGACUUUCUAGUGGGUGGAGACCUAUAAGGUUUAUCUCAGAUUUGUAUUGUGAAAAUUCAUCACAGAGUUUGAAACAAUUUGAGGUUGAAAGCCUUUUUAUGCCAUUUGUUCAAUAGAAAUAAUCAAAUCUUCAAGGUAUAUUCAGGUUUUGAAAAUAUGGCAUGUAUUGCCUUUAGAGGAUAUCCCACAAUUGGCUAAGCACCUUGACAAAGUAUUCACAAGAUACACUGAUGAAUAUAUCCGUAGGAACAAGUGCAAACACAAAGGCAGAGGUUUUGUUGAGAACGCAGAGUUUCCUUUGAGUUGGCCACUUUCUGCUAACAUAAAAAAAUUUAAGAAUGUUCAUAAUAUUGCAAAUUUAGGAAGAAUUUGAUGCUGAUGAAGACACAAGAUGCUGAAAGAGUAUGGUGUUGAUGAAGUACUGCUGCAUUUCAAGGAGUAACAUGGCCAUGACAGUUUAAAAGUGGAUCAUCCGUACAGCUUAACAUUAUUCCCUUCCCUAGAAGUACCACAGUUUUUUAUCACUAAGCUAAUUCAGAAUGCUUCCGAGACUGAAAUUAUAGUUUCAUAUAUAGCAAAAAGACUUUGAUA
Long non-coding RNA from Glycine soja, 2063 nucleotides. RefSeq lists it as uncharacterized. The record is from RefSeq and is a predicted model, not a curated record. The transcript has 6 exons. NCBI's taxonomy places the organism in Eukaryota, Viridiplantae, Streptophyta, Magnoliopsida, Fabales, Fabaceae.